RNAcentral lists this ribosomal RNA (324 nucleotides) under Salmonella enterica. RNAcentral describes it as "bacterial LSU rRNA". It matches the Rfam family "Bacterial large subunit ribosomal RNA", at positions 1147 to 1386 of the family's 2925-position model. The record is from RNAcentral. Lineage: Bacteria; Pseudomonadati; Pseudomonadota; Gammaproteobacteria; Enterobacterales; Enterobacteriaceae.
GGUCGAGUCGGCCUGCGCGGAAGAUGUAACGGGGCUAAACCAUGCACCGAAGCUGCGGCAGCGAACGUAUCACUUAAAGCGAUUCAGCGGAGUUGACGAUUGACGGAGCGAAGCGACGUCAAAGCGUAUACAAAGUCGAGUCGGUUUAAGGAUACGUUCGUUGGGUAGGGGAGCGUUCUGUAAGCCCGUGAAGGUGGCCUGUGAGGGUUGCUGGAGGUAUCAGAAGUGCGAAUGCUGACAUAAGUAACGAUAAAGCGGGUGAAAAGCCCGCUCGCCGGAAGACCAAGGGUUCCUGUCCAACGUUAAUCGGGGCAGGGUGAGUCG